GUGAGUCAUCGAAUCUUUGAACGCACCUUGCACUCUUUGGUAUUCCGAAGAGUAUGUCUGUUUGAGUGUCAUGAAACUCUCAACCCCCUCAUUUUGUAAUGAAACGAGUGUGGGCUUGGUUUAUGGCUGUUUGUCGGCUUUUGUUAGCCGGCUCAGCUGAAAUUGACGAGCAACCCAGUUUGAAAAACUGACGGCUUGACUCGGCGUAAUAAUUAUUAUCGCUGAGGACGUCUAACCUUCAAAUCGUUAGUGGUGCUUCUAAUGCAAAUCAUUUUAAGAUUUAGACCUCAAAUCAGCCAGGAUUACCCGCUGAACUUAA
This 319-nucleotide ribosomal RNA is filed under the name uncultured fungus. Its description in RNAcentral is "eukaryotic LSU rRNA". The stretch from base 1 to 71 matches the Rfam family "5.8S ribosomal RNA", at positions 84 to 154 of the family's 154-position model. The record is from RNAcentral. Lineage: Eukaryota; Fungi.